CGGGCUACACACGUGCUACAAUGGCCGGUACAGACGGACGCAAAGCCGCGAGGUGGAGCAAAUCCUAAAAAACCGGUCUCAGUUCGGAUUGCAGGCUGCAAUUCGCCUGCAUGAAGUCGGAAUCGCUAGUAAUCGCAGGUCAGCAUACUGCGGUGAAUACGUUCCCGGGCCUU
RNAcentral lists this ribosomal RNA (173 nucleotides) under uncultured Bacillus sp. Its description in RNAcentral is "partial 16S ribosomal RNA". It matches the Rfam family "Bacterial small subunit ribosomal RNA", at positions 1210 to 1382 of the family's 1533-position model. The record is from RNAcentral. Lineage: Bacteria; Bacillati; Bacillota; Bacilli; Caryophanales; Bacillaceae.